Molecule: ribosomal RNA, 1492 nt
Filed under: uncultured Bordetella sp.
Lineage: Bacteria; Pseudomonadati; Pseudomonadota; Betaproteobacteria; Burkholderiales; Alcaligenaceae
Description: partial 16S-23S ribosomal RNA intergenic spacer
Rfam family: Bacterial small subunit ribosomal RNA
Source: RNAcentral
GGUUCUGGAGCACUGGGCAGUAGUAUUGCAGAGGGUUUGAUCCGGCUCAGAUUGGAACGCUGGCGGAGUUUUUGCACAUGCAAGUCGAACGGCAGCACGGACUUCGGUCUGGUGGCGAGUGGCGAACGGGUGAGUAAUGUAUCGGAACGUGCCUAGUAGCGGGGAUAACUACGCGAAAGCGUAGUUAAUACCGCAUGGGUCUCUUCGGGGGAGCGGGGACCUUUCGGGCCUCGCACUAUUAGAGCGUGGCCGAUAUCGGAUUAGCCAGUUGGUGGGUAACGGUCACCAAGGCGACGAUCCGUAGCUGGUUUGAGAGGACGACCAGCCACAAUUGGGACUGAGACACGCCCAGACUCCUACGGCAAGCAGCAGUGGGGAAUUUUGGACAAUGGGGAAACCCUGAUCCAGCCAUCCCGCGUAAAAGCGAUGAAGGCCUUCGCUGUAAAGCACUUUUUGGCAGGAAAAAGAAACGGCACGAUAAUACCCCGUGCAACUGACGGUACCUGCAGAAUAAGCACCGGCCAACUACGCCAGCAGCCGCGGUAAUACGUAGGGGUGCAAGCGUUAAUCGGAAUUACUGGGCGUAAAGCGUGCGCAGGCGGUUCGGAAAGAAAGAUGUGAAUCCCAGAGCUUAACUUUGAACUACAUUUUUAACUACCGAGCUAGAGUGUGUCAGAUGGGAGUGUGGAAUUCCGCGUGUAGCAGUGAAUGAAGAUAUGGAGGAACACCGAUGGCGAAGGUACUUCCGGGAUAACAUCUGACGUCGCAAUAAAAGCGUGGGGAGCAAACAGGAUUAGAUACCCCAGUCCACGCCCUAAACGAUGUCAACUAGCUGUUGGGGUUUUCUGGCCUUGGUAGUAGCUAACGCGUGAAGUUGACCGCCCGUGGAUGCUGUCGUUAUCGCAAAUCAGCAAUUUAAUGGGACCCACAAUGUGGAUGAUGUGGAUUAAUUCGAUGCGUAACGCGAAAACCUUACCUUACCCUUGACAUGUCUGGAACCCGAAGAUUUGGGAGUGCUCGCGAGAACCGGGGAACACAGGUGCUGUAGGCUAUUGUCGUCAGCUCGCAAGUCAGAGAUGUUGGGUUAAGUCCUGCAUCGAGUAACUCCUUGUCAUUAGUUGCUACGAAAAGGCACUUCAUCGAGACUGUUGGUGACAAACCGGAGGAAGGGUGACGACGUACCAAGUCCCUGUAUGGUUCUGCAGGGUAGGGCUUCACACGUCAUACAAUGGUCGGGACAGAGGGUCAACCCGCGAGGGGGAGCUAAUCCCAGAAACCCGAUCGUAAUGGAUCGCAGUUCGCAACCUUCGACUGCGUGAAGUCGGAAUCGCUAGUAAUCGCGGAUCAGCAUGUCGCGGUGAAUACGUUCCCGGCCCGCACACACCCGCCUAUCGCCAAUUACGGGAGGUUUUACCAGAAGUAGUUAGCCUAACCGUAAGGAGGGCGAUUACCACGGUAGGAUUCAUGACUGGGGUGAAGUCAAACAAGGUAA